CAAAGUCUAAAAAAAUUAUUUUAAAAAAAUUAAAAAUCCCCGCGUCCCAUUUUUGGUACCCGCCAAAAUUUUUAAAUUUUUGCGCGACGAAUAUAGGAAUAUUGGUCGCGCAAAGUCUAAAAAAAUUAUUUAAAAAAAAUAAAAAUCCCCGCGUCCCAUUUUUGGUACCCGCCAAAAUUUUUAAAUUUUUGCGUGACGAAUAUAGGAAUAUUGGUCGCGCAAAGUCUAAAAAAAUUAUUUAAAAAAAAUAAAAAUCCCCGCGUCCCAUUUUUGGUACCCG
This 280-nucleotide long non-coding RNA is filed under the name Prunus persica (peach). RNAcentral describes it as "long non-coding RNA (PPER_LNC007333)". Lineage: Eukaryota; Viridiplantae; Streptophyta; Magnoliopsida; Rosales; Rosaceae. The record is from RNAcentral.